GAUAAACAAUUUGUUCAAUAAAUUCAGUUCCUAAUGUGGAAAACGAAGCCUUUGAGUUAAUUCAAAAAAAAAUAAUUAGAUUUUAGAAAACAACAAAUUUCAAGCAAAAUACAAGAAAAUUAAAAAAAGAAAACUAAUAACUCCAAAAUUUCCCAAUUUUCGAAUCAUAUAAUUUUUUAAAAAAAUAAAAAAAAGCAAACGAAAAAUCAAAAAUCAACAAUCAAAAUUUUGAACAAUUCCCAGAUCAAAAAAGAAAAGACGAAUCCGAAACAAACCCCAAACCCAAACCAAUCAAAAACAAAAAUCCCAUAUCUUAUUGAAAUCAAUAACAAACCGAUCGAUAACGGAAUAACAUAGACAAACAAAAUUUGUAAAAAUAACCUAAAAUUGAAACUGCUUUGAAGAAAAUUAAGCAGGAAAAAGGAUUAAAAAUAGAAAAAAAAAAAGGUACCUUUGUGAGAGGUAGCGCUGGUAG
Molecule: unclassified non-coding RNA, 475 nt
Filed under: Hevea brasiliensis (rubber tree)
Lineage: Eukaryota; Viridiplantae; Streptophyta; Magnoliopsida; Malpighiales; Euphorbiaceae
Source: RNAcentral